ACUCCUACGGGAGGCAGCAGUGGGGGAAUAUUGCACAAUGGGCGCAAGCCUGAUGCAGCAACGCCGUGUGAGUGAAGAAGGUUUUCGGAUCGUAAAACUCUGUCCUAAGGGAAGAAAAAAUGACGGUACCUUAGGAGGAAGCCCGGCUAACUACGUGCCAGCAGCCGCGGUAAUACGUAGGGGGCAAGCGUUAUCCGGAAUCACUGGGGCGUAAAGGGGUGCGUAGGCGGCUUAGCAAGCCAGGGGUGAAAGGCAUUGGCUCAACCAAUGUAAGCCUUUGGAACUGUUAAGCUUGAGUGCAGGAGAGGUAAGUGGAAUUCCUAGUGUAGAGGUGAAAUUCGUAGAUAUUAGGAGGAACACCGAGUGGCGAAGGCGACUUACUGGACUGUAACUGACGCUGAUGCACGAAAGCGUGGGUAGCGAACAGGAUUAGAUACCCUGGUA
This 444-nucleotide ribosomal RNA is filed under the name uncultured bacterium. Its description in RNAcentral is "bacterial SSU rRNA". It matches the Rfam family "Bacterial small subunit ribosomal RNA", at positions 335 to 792 of the family's 1533-position model. The record is from RNAcentral.